Amphiprion ocellaris (clown anemonefish) is the source of this 3359-nucleotide long non-coding RNA. NCBI's taxonomy places the organism in Eukaryota, Metazoa, Chordata, Actinopteri, Pomacentridae. The record is from Ensembl.
UUUGUUUCACCAUUUUGCAUUUAUUGAAGAGGAAGGUUGGAGGGGGGUUGGAGGGGGGAAGCGAAUACAAAAGCACAACCGAGCUACAUGUCGAUGCCACGCUACGUUUCUGUGUGUCGCUGGUGACUGAUGGCAGGUGACGGAAUGCUCCUGGUUCCUCUAAGCAACUCUGAUCCUACUCAGACGGGUUAAUAACCGGCUCCCAAGCUGCUCAUCUAUAGCUGCCAUUGGCUCAGGGGAGGAGGGGGGAAACAGCAAGACAACAGCAUGACAUGACGAGGACAUGAAGGAAACCUAAGUGAUGUUAGAGACAGACAGGUCUGCUGAAGAUGGCACAUUAUUAAGAGGAAAAAAAAUCCCUUCUGGAUGCUUUUGUGAUGUUCAACACAUUCUGGGGGCCUUUUAGUGACAGAAAAAUGUUACAUUUAGCCUCAUUUUCUGCUAAUGAGUUUCAUUUUUGAUGGAUUUCUCAGUGACAGGUUUAAAAAAAAAAGAGAGGCGAUGAAAACCGAAGCUGAAAUCUCUCCAUCAUAUCUGUCGUGUGUGAAGCUAUGAAGCGUCGUCGUCGGGAGCGUUUUCAUGGAAAGCUUUUUCCUUUUAAAGUCCUUCAGAAAGUAAGUGCACUUCCCUGUUAAUGCACUUCAGAGUUGGCGAAGAACCUGCCGACACUUCACAAAGGUCACAAGUAGUUUGAGUCAGCAGCACAUUUCAGACAGAUUUAUUGAAUAUAGGUGCUAAAAGGUUGAAUGUAGUUCUUGUAAACCUGCAUCCGGUUAGUAUUGAUGUGAACUCUUCUCCCUCAUGUAAGACUCGACGAAGACGGACACAAUUAACCACAGGGUUAGAGACAAAAUAUAAACACGGGAAAUAAACUCAUCCACGGAUUGGUAGAAAGAAAACAUCACAAUUAAAAAACAAAACACGGAGAUAAACAGCCUUAUGAACUGUAAAGGCAACUUUUCUUACAACACAAAAGAAGCAAAUGUAACUUUGAAGCUGAAGAUUUAACGAUUUAAAAAGACACAAACUAUAAAAAGCAUCAUGAAAAUUAAAAAAAAAAAGAUGAGGGUUGAUUUAAUGAGACGUUGUUGGACGCAUGCCUCGUCUAAGCUUAUGCACAAUGUUUAAACAACACCUCAACAUUUAGUUUUCUCUCGAAGAGUGAGGCAACGCUCUCCUGUUUGUGUGGUAAACAUGAGGCAGAGUUAGCAUAGCUUAGCACAAAGACUGAAAACAAAGGGAAACUACUAGCAUGGCUCUCUUCUAGCGUCACAUCUGUUGUGACCAUUUAAGUUGCAACGAUUAACCCUCCUGUUGUCUCCAUUUAUGGACACCAAAAAAUAUUGUUUCCUUGUCUGAAAAAAAAAAUUUAGCAAAAAAGUCCCCCAAAUUUCUGUAAAUUUGGAAAACCUUCAGGAAGAAAAUUCCAAUAAUUCCUUAAAAGUUUUAUGUAAAAAAAUUCCCCAAAUUUGGCCAGAAAAUUAUUUUAAAUAUUUGGAAAAAAUGAGUAAAAAUCUUCCAAAAAAAUCCUAAAAAUAUCUAAAGUGAUUCCAUAUAUAUUAAUAAAACUUCUGAUAUUUUCUUUAAGAACAUUCACAAUAAAAUCAAAUCAAAGUGAAUUUCGCUGGAUUUUGGUUGUUGUCUGGUUGUUCUUAAGAAACUUUUUUUUUCCCACUAAAAAAUGUUAAAAAAUUUCCCAGAAAUGUUGAUAACGUGGACAUCAGAAGUUUCACUGUGAAAAUAUUCAGUUCAAUUCUAUUCUAUUUAUAUAGCGCCAAUUACAGGUCAAAUUGUCUCAAGAAAAAUAUAUUUUCUUCCACAUUUUCAAACUUUAAAACAGGUCAGUUUGACCCGCAGGACGACACGAAGGUUAACUGAUGAAUCCAUUAAUUGGUAGCUAAUACAUUUUUAUAACCAAUGAAUGAGUUUAAGUAGUUUUUAAGAAGAAAAAAAAUCUAAAUACUCUCAUUCCAGCUUCUUAAAUUCAACAUUUUCUGAUUUCCUUCUUCCUCCAUGACAGUAAACUUUUAUCUUUGGCUUGUGGACAAAAACAAGACAUUUGAGGAUGUCAUCUUGGGAGUUUUCUGACAUUUUAUAUCUAAAAAAACCAAACAAUUAAUCAAGAAGCUUAUCACUGGAAUCAAAAUUAUUGUGAGUUAAAGCCCCAUUUAUAAUUAUGAGCAUCCUCGAUUAGAAUUAAAAUGUCCUGCUUAAACAAAAAUUUGAAAAACUUGCUCUUACUGUUUCCCCUUGUUAUCAGUCUAACCUGCUACAUCUGGAGCAUCACAUUUAGAACACAGACGUGAAUCUUCAAUCAAUUUUCAAGCUUAUUUCACCAAAACAUUGAAGUAUUCCUUUCGGAAAAUCGGAAAUGUUGAUCCAAAUCAAUAAAUAUUGAGAUUGUCAAUAAAAUAAAAUCAGUUUUCAAUCAGUCACAGUCUGAACAAAAAGGCUGUCCUGCUCGCAGCUCUAAUUCACAAGUAGUGACAAUGUGCAACAUUUAGAUUUAGUCGCUUUGGACGGCAGGAGAUAAACCUCUGAAAUGGAAAUGACUUGUGUCAUUGUCGUUGCUGGUGGGGGGGAUUCUCCCUCCGGUACCUUUAAAGAGCUUCUGGACACAUUCAGAUCUACAUACAACUUUAGAUAAAUAUUUAUAUUCACAAGGAAGCCAGUCCUACAAAGCAGACAUUCCUCUGCGGUCCUGUACGUUCUAUGCAGUUAACAUCAUUUAAAGAAUAUAAAUAGCUUAUUUUUUCCCCCCAAAUCUAGUUAAAAAAAAGAAAAAAAAAGAAAAAACUCAACGGGCAAACACAGCUACACAUUUUCACACACAAACAAAAAAAGGAAAACAUGAGCUUAAAAUGGGCUGUUCUAGCUUGUAUACAGUGGUAAAACCUUAGAGGUAGAAAAAGUAUUUUAAAAAAUCAUAACAAAACCAAACGAAGGACACAGAAAACAGGUUUGUGAGCUGCAGAUUUUCUCAGGACAAAACCGUGGACAUCAUGAAGCAACACGGAUGAAAUAAAAAAGGGGGGACAGGUGGAAACAGGACACAUCCAGGUAGAUUCCUCCCUGGUGAUGGUCCAGUGGCAGCUAUAGCUUCCUGGUGAACCGACUGACUGGUGAGAUGGACAAACACUGAACACGACGCUUGUUUGUUGCAGGAGACAGAAGCUGAUUUACUGGUUAGUUCUGGGUUCAAACAGCCACUGAUCGUCUGUAAACAAGAUUCCACUGCAUCUCUAGGAGAAGUUCAUGUUGAAGUCUUUUCCGGUGGGAACUCCCCAUCUGAGUGGUAAAUUGAGGUCAGGGCUCCUAUUCUUAGAAACCUGACGCUCGGCCAGGCCUUGUCCUGUUUA